GAUGAAGAACGCAGCGAAAUGCGAUAAGUAGUGUGAAUUGCAGAAUUCAGUGAAUCAUCGAAUCUUUGAACGCACAUUGCGCCCCUUGGUAUUCCAUGGGGCAUGCCUGUUCGAGCGUCAUUUGUACCCUCAAGCUUUGCUUGGUAUUGGGUGUUUGUCCCGCGUUGCGCGUGGACUCGCCUUAAAGCGAUUGGCAGCCGGCAUAUUGGCCUUGGAGCGCAGCACAUUUUGCGCUUCUAGUCAUGAAUGUUGGCGUCCAUUAAGCCUAUACAUUUGCUCUUGACCUCGGAUCAGGUAGGGAUACCCGCUGAACUUAAGCAUAUCAAUAAGCGGAGGA
This 337-nucleotide unclassified non-coding RNA is filed under the name soil metagenome. Its description in RNAcentral is "partial contains 5.8S ribosomal RNA, internal transcribed spacer 2, and large subunit ribosomal RNA". The stretch from base 1 to 120 matches the Rfam family "5.8S ribosomal RNA", at positions 35 to 154 of the family's 154-position model. The record is from RNAcentral.